Molecule: ribosomal RNA, 498 nt
Filed under: uncultured bacterium
Lineage: Bacteria
Description: partial 16S ribosomal RNA
Rfam family: Bacterial small subunit ribosomal RNA
Source: RNAcentral
GACGAACGCUGGCGGCGUGCCUAAUACAUGCAAGUCGAACGAGAGCACCCGGUGCUUGCACUGGUCAAUCUAGUGGCGAACGGGUGAGUAACACGUGGGUAACCUGCCCAUCAGAGGGGGAUAACAUCCGGAAACGGAUGCUAAAACCGCAUAGGUCUUCGAACCGCAUGGUUUGAAGAGGAAAAGAGGCGCAAGCUUCUGCUGAUGGAUGGACCCGCGGUGCAUUAGCUAGUUGGUGAGGUAACGGCUCACCAAGGCCGUGAUGCAUAGCCGACCUGAGAGGGUGAUCGGCCACAUUGGGACUGAGACACGGCCCAAACUCCUACGGGAGGCAGCAGUAGGGAAUCUUCCGCAAUGGACGCAAGUCUGACGGAGCAACGCCGCGUGAGUGAAGAAGGUUUUCGGAUCGUAAAACUCUGUUGUUAGAGAAGAACAAGUGCUAGAGUAACUGUUAGCGCCUUGACGGUAUCCAACCAGAAAGCCACGGCUAACUACGUG